GCGCAGCAGUCGAGAAUUUUUCACAAUGGGGGAAACCCUGAUGGAGCGACGCCGCGUGGAGGAUGAAGGCCCUCGGGUCGUAAACUCCUGUCAUGCGGGAACAAGAAAGUGAUAGUACCGCAAGAGGAAGAGACGGCUAACUCUGUGCCAGCAGCCGCGGUAAUACAGAGGUCUCAAGCGUUAUUCGGAUUCAUUGGGCGUAAAGGGUGCGUAGGUGGCGAUGUAAGCCUGGUGUGAAAUCUCGGGGCUUAACCCCGAAACUGCAUUGGAUACUGCGUUGCUUGAGGAUUGUAGAGGAGAGUGGAAUUCACGGUGUAGCAGUGAAAUGCGUAGAUAUCGUGAGGAAGACCAGUUGCGAAGGCGACUCCCUGGGCAAUUCCUGACACUGAGGCACGAAGGCCAGGGGAGCAAACGGGAUUAGAUACCCCUGUAGU
This 434-nucleotide ribosomal RNA is filed under the name uncultured organism. RNAcentral describes it as "bacterial SSU rRNA". It matches the Rfam family "Bacterial small subunit ribosomal RNA", at positions 346 to 794 of the family's 1533-position model. The record is from RNAcentral.